RNAcentral lists this ribosomal RNA (3203 nucleotides) under Chromatiaceae bacterium. RNAcentral describes it as "23S ribosomal RNA". It matches the Rfam family "Bacterial large subunit ribosomal RNA". Lineage: Bacteria; Pseudomonadati; Pseudomonadota; Gammaproteobacteria; Chromatiales; Chromatiaceae. The record is from RNAcentral.
GUUAUAUGGUCAAGUGAAUAAGCGCAUAUGGUGGAUGCCUAGGCGGUAAGAGGCGAUGAAGGACGUAGUAGCUUGCGAUAAGCCUCGGGGAGUCGGCAAACUGACUUUGAUCCGAGGAUUUCCGAAUGGGGAAACCCACCCAGCAUAAGCUGGGUAUCGUUAGCUGAAUAUAUAGGUUAACGAGGCAAACCCGGGGAACUGAAACAUCUAAGUACCCGGAGGAAAAGAAAUCAACCGAGAUUCCCUGAGUAGCGGCGAGCGAAAGGGGACCAGCCCUUAAGCUGUUGAUGAGUUAGUGGAACAGUCUGGAAAGUCUGGUGAUACAGGGUGACAGCCCCGUACACGAAAAUGACUCAGCAGUGAAAUCGAGUAAGGCGGAGCACGUGAAACUCUGUCUGAACAUGGGGGGACCAUCCUCCAAGGCUAAAUACUCCUUACCGACCGAUAGUGAACCAGUACCGUGAGGGAAAGGCGAAAAGAACCCCUUUUAGGGGAGUGAAAUAGAACCUGAAACCGUAUGCGUACAAGCAGUCGGAGCCCCGCCACUAAAUCACUUUUAACGUAACUAUGUACUACGUGUAUGUACUGCAAAAUGUGCAAGAUGAAACAGACUUCUACACAGGUUACAGCAGUGACCUGAAGAAGCGUGUUGAGCAGCACAAUGAAGGUAAAAACACUUCUACCCGAGGGAAGAGGUGGCGCGUAGUGUAUUACGAAGCGUAUAUCAGUGAAGAGGUGGCGCGAGAUAGAGAACGCAAGCUUAAGAAUGAUGGGCGAGUGAAGCGUUUUUUGUUCGAACGCAUUAAGUCACAGUUUGGAGAGUGAUUUAGUGGCGGGGUAACGGCGUACCUUUUGUAUAAUGGGUCAGCGACUUACUUCUCAGUAGCAAGCUUAACCGAAUAGGGGAGGCGUAGGGAAACCGAGUCUUAAUAGGGCGAAUUAGUUGCUGGGAGUAGACCCGAAACCGGGCGAUCUAUCCAUGGCCAGGGUGAAGGUGGAGUAACAUCUACUGGAGGCCCGAACCCACUUAUGUUGAAAAAUGAGGGGAUGAGCUGUGGAUAGGAGUGAAAGGCUAAUCAAGCCCGGAGAUAGCUGGUUCUCCUCGAAAGCUAUUUAGGUAGCGCCUCAUGUAUCACCACCGGGGGUAGAGCACUGUUACGGCUAGGGGGUCAUCCCGACUUACCAACCCGUUGCAAACUCCGAAUACCGGUGAGUGCAAUCAUGGGAGACAGACGGCGGGUGCUAACGUCCGUCGUCAAAAGGGAAACAACCCAGACCGCCAGCUAAGGUCCCAAAAUCACAUCUCAGUGGGAAACGAUGUGGGAAGGCAUAGACAGCUAGGAGGUUGGCUUAGAAGCAGCCAUCCUUUAAAGAAAGCGUAAUAGCUCACUAGUCGAGUCGGCCUGCGCGGAAGAUUUAACGGGGCUUAAGAUGUGUACCGAAGCUGCGGAUGCAGACUUGUUCUGCAUGGUAGAGGAGCGUUCUGUAGGCCGUUGAAGGUGAACUGUAAGGUUUGCUGGAGGUAUCAGAAGUGCGAAUGCUGACAUGAGUAACGAUAAAGGGGGUGAGAGGCCCCCUCGCCGAAAGCCCAAGGUUUCCUGCGCAACGCUAAUCGGCGCAGGGUUAGUCGGCCCCUAAGACGAGGCAGAGAUGCGUAGUCGAUGGGAAGCAGGUCAAUAUUCCUGCACCUCUUGUUACUGCGAUGGAGGGACGGAGAAGGCUAGGUCAUCCGGGCGUUGGUUGUCCCGGUUUAAGCGAGUAGGGAGUGUUCUUAGGUAAAUCCGGGGACACAAUUCUGAGACGUGAUGACGAAGCACCCUUUGGGUGUGAAGUGAUUGAUGCCAUGCUUCCAGGAAAAGCUUCUAAGCUUCAGGUAACAAGAGACCGUACCCCAAACCGACACAGGUGGGCAGGGUGAGAAUCCCAAGGCGCUUGAGAGAACUCUGGUGAAGGAACUAGGCAAAAUAGUACCGUAACUUCGGGAGAAGGUACGCCUCCUAGGUGAAGCAUUUACAUGUCGAGCUAUAGGAGGUCGCAGUGACCAGGUGGCUGCAACUGUUUACUAAAAACAUAGCACUCUGCAAACACGAAAGUGGACGUAUAGGGUGUGACGCCUGCCCGGUGCCGGAAGGUUAAUUGAUGGGGUUAUCUUCGGAGAAGCUCUUGAUCGAAGCCCCGGUAAACGGCGGCCGUAACUAUAACGGUCCUAAGGUAGCGAAAUUCCUUGUCGGGUAAGUUCCGACCUGCACGAAUGGCGUAAUGAUGGCCACGCUGUCUCCACCAGAGACUCAGUGAAAUUGAAAUUGCGGUUAAGAUGCCGCAUACCCGCGGCUAGACGGAAAGACCCCGUGAACCUUUACUACAGCUUCACACUGGACUUUGAACCUACUUGUGUAGGAUAGGUGGGAGGCUUUGAAGCCGAGACGUCAGUCUUGGUGGAGCCAUCCUUGAAAUACCACCCUGGUAUGUUUGAAGUUCUAACCUAGGCCCGUUAUCCGGGUCAGGGACAGUGUGUGGUGGGUAGUUUGACUGGGGCGGUCUCCUCCCAAAGAGUAACGGAGGAGCACGAAGGUACCCUCAGCGCGGUCGGAAAUCGCGCAAUGAGUGCAAAGGCAUAAGGGUGCUUGACUGCGAGAUAGACACAUCGAGCAGGUACGAAAGUAGGUCUUAGUGAUCCGGUGGCUCUGUAUGGAAGGGCCAUCGCUCAACGGAUAAAAGGUACUCCGGGGAUAACAGGCUGAUGGUGCCCAAGAGUUCAUAUCGACGGCACCGUUUGGCACCUCGAUGUCGGCUCAUCACAUCCUGGGGCUGAAGUCGGUCCCAAGGGUAUGGCUGUUCGCCAUUUAAAGUGGUACGCGAGCUGGGUUUAGAACGUCGUGAGACAGUUCGGUCCCUAUCUGCCGUGGGCGUUUGAGAUUUGAGGGAAGCUGCUCCUAGUACGAGAGGACCGGAGUGGACGAACCCCUGGUGUUCCGGUUGUCACGCCAGUGGCACUGCCGGGUAGCUACGUUCGGACAGGAUAACCGCUGAAAGCAUCUAAGCGGGAAGCCCCUCCCAAGAUUAGAUCUCACUGGACCUUUAAGGUCCCUGAAGGGCCGUUGAAGACUACAACGUUGAUAGGCUGGGUGUGGAAGUUCAGUAAUGAAUGAAGCUAACCAGUACUAAUUGCCCGUGAGGCUUGACCAUAUAACACCCAAACACUU